AUUGAACGCUGGCGGCAGGCUUAACACAUGCAAGUCGAGCGGUAGCACAGGGGAGCUUGCUCCCUGGGUGACGAGCGGCGGACGGGUGAGGAAUGUCUGGGAAACUGCCUGAUGGAGGGGGAUAACUACUGGAAACGGUAGCUAAUACCGCAUAACGUCGCAAGACCAAAGAGGGGGACCUUCGGGCCUCUUGCCAUCAGAUGUGCCCAGAUGGGAUUAGCUAGUAGGUGGGGUAAUGGCUCACCUAGGCGACGAUCCCUAGCUGGUCUGAGAGGAUGACCAGCCACACUGGAACUGAGACACGGUCCAGACUCCUACGGGAGGCAGCAGUGGGGAAUAUUGCACAAUGGGCGCAAGCCUGAUGCAGCCAUGCCGCGUGUGUGAAGAAGGCCUUCGGGUUGUAAAGCACUUUCAGCGGGGAGGAAGGUGGUGAACUUAAUACGUUCAUCAAUUGACGUUACUCGCAGAAGAAGCACCGGCUAACUCCGUG
This 490-nucleotide ribosomal RNA is filed under the name uncultured bacterium. Its description in RNAcentral is "partial 16S ribosomal RNA". It matches the Rfam family "Bacterial small subunit ribosomal RNA", at positions 30 to 507 of the family's 1533-position model. The record is from RNAcentral.